Molecule: long non-coding RNA, 1123 nt
Organism: Morone saxatilis (striped sea-bass)
Lineage: Eukaryota; Metazoa; Chordata; Actinopteri; Moronidae
Exons: 2
Source: RefSeq, a predicted model, not a curated record
UAUCCAACUCUUAACAUCACGUUAGCUUAGCUUUAUACAAAUGUGGAUGUUUUAGCCGUUAGGGUUAGGGAUUUUCUGCUUCUUGUAAAAUAAUUUAGAAAUCUAUGACGGCUUUUUACAAUUGACAUUUGAGCACAUACGCAGGUUUUUUUAAACACAGGUAAAUCUGCUGAAACCAGACUCCUUUCUCAUUGCCAGUCGACGAGUUUGUGUCAUGUUCGACACCACGUACGAGCUGCUAACAGGGUUAGCAAACAGUAAGAAAGCAGCACGAGGCCAGCGACAUUGAUACGGUGGUAGUUCAUAGCUGGAAAGGGGCGAGUGGAGACGAUUCAUACCCGACUGCUGCAGCGUUUGACCCGGGAACAGAAGUGACUGCUGAUUGGAGCAACAGGCGAGCAGCUACAGUGUGCAGCUGAUCUAAGCCCAACAUUUUCCAAGUUAUACUUUAAAACACAUAGAAAGAUACUGACAGAAGAUUCACAAGAACGAGCUGAUACGAAACAGUUUGUGUUUAAGUGGCUGAAAUAAGAAGCGCAGCAGAAACCAGAGACACAAACACUGAACCAACUGCUGACUGGCUGCUGGACGUCGGUCUGAGCUCAGAUAUGUUUUUCCUGACUGUGUCUUUCCUCUGACCUCCCUCCUCUUCAAUUUCCACGGCUCACGGCACCGCCUGCAGCCAUGUGUCCGUCAGGCGUGUCGUCACCUGGGGCUGAUCGUUUCCCAGCAGCGCCCUCAUUAACCCUGUACGCGCCGCCCACACUGUCCCUGAUCCUCAGCGGCUGCUGGAGCUUCAGACCGUCCCCCCACAGCAACCAGGUGCUGCCUGACCUCGCCGCUCUUCUGUGGGCCUUUACAGCUGCAGGGACCUUCAGAGAAAACCUUCCAGACACAAUCAGACCCUCUACCCACCACCCGAUCCCUGUUUCCUGGACUUAAAGCAUGGUUAUGUAACUUUUCCACCUUCCACGGGUCGGAACAAAUACAGAAACUGGUGUCUUGAUCUUUCACAGAGGACAGCAGCUGAAUGGACGGAUACAAACGGACAAUUAUUGAUUUAAAUCUGUAAUCUGGAACAUUUCUUCAUUAGUCAGUAUAUAAACUCUAGAGCUAUGUUUUA